GGCCCAGAGACCAGAGGAGCAACUGCUGGUAACAACUGCACACGCGGGGUGCGGCUGCGCGCGCCUGGGCCGCCUUGCGCCGACAGUCACCCGGUGGUGUUAAGGGGUGGUGUUAAAAGUGACACCCGAGCGCUGCAGGCGCCACUGUCAGCUGUUGCAGGAGAUGACACCCGGGUCUGCAGAGUUGGACAGAGAAACUGAGACUCAACGGCCUAGCCCCUUCUCUGCAGGGGCAGAGCUGCAGCUGAAGCUGAGACCAGCAUCCCUGUACAUUCUGUGCGAAGACUCGCACACAGCUUCCCUCACAACCUGGGGCUGCAGGUAUGAGAUCUGACCCGUGGCCACGUACGAGCUGGGGGCUGGACUCAGGUUCAUUGUAAGGGGCAGCUCCCGUGUGAGCCAGGCAGUCUGUGACUGUGCAUCCGCUCAGGGCAGCCCAGGGCCACAGCAGCAGUGAGGCCUAGGACACCAGGUUUAGGGCGGAGGAGCAGAAGUAAUUCGGAUGAGCAGGGGCAUUCCAUGCAGGUCGCAAAGAGCACGGGUGUGCAAGAAGGCCAUCUAUUUGCAGGACAAUCAGGUAUCUGCUUGACUGGAAGCUUUGGGGCAGGUUCCUAAGAGGGAGAAGAGCCGAAAAGUGGGGAGGGCGGGCUGGGAACAGCGUGGUCCUCGGGCAGGUGGGCAGCAGGAGU
This 689-nucleotide long non-coding RNA is filed under the name Fukomys damarensis (Damara mole-rat). Its description in RNAcentral is "lncRNA (ENSFDAG00000029447.1)". The record is from RNAcentral. Lineage: Eukaryota; Metazoa; Chordata; Mammalia; Rodentia; Bathyergidae.